GGGGAAGUACUCUGUGCGGAGGCCACUAUGCUCUCACCCCCAACGCCCGGUGACUCGCUACCAUGAGCAGCACCUUAGCCAAGAUUGCGGAGAUCGAACCCGAGAUGGCUCGGACUCAAAAGAACAAGGCCACAGCACACCACCUAGGGCUGCUUAAGGCUCGCCUUGCUAAGCUUCAUAGAGAGCUCAUUACCCCAAAAGGUGGUGGUGGUGGUGGGCCAGGAGAAGGUUUUGAUGUGACCAAGACAGGUGAUGCUCGAAUUGGGUUUGUGGGUUUUCCAUCAGUGGGGAAGUCAACACUGCUUAGUAACCUGGCAGGGGUAUAUUCUGAGGUGGCAGCCUAUGAGUUCACUACUCUGACCAUUGUGCCUGGUGUCAUCAGAUACAAAGGUGCCAAGAUCAAGCUCCUGGAUCUUCCAGGUAUCAUUGAGGGUGCCAAGGAUGGGAAAGGUAGAGGCCGUCAAGUCAUUGCAGUGGCCCGAACAUGUAACUUGAUCCUGAUUGUUCUAGAUGUCCUGAAACCCUUGGGACACAAAAAGAUAAUUAAAAAUGAGCUGGAAGCCUUUGGCAUUCGCUUGAACAGCAAACCUCCCAACAUUGGCUUUAAGAAGAAGGAUAAAGGAGGCAUUAAUCUCACGGCCACCUGCCCUCAGAGCGAGCUGGAUGCUGAAACUGUGAAGAGCAUUCUGGCUGAAUACAAAAUUCACAAUGCUGAUGUGACACUGCGUAGUGAUGCCACAGCGGAUGACCUCAUUGACGUGGCAGAAGGAAACAGAGUUUGUAUCCCUUGUAUCUGUGUGUUGAAUAAGAUUGAUCAGAUCUCCAUUGAGGAAUUGGAUAUCAUCUAUAAGGUGCCUCACUGUGUACCCACCUCUGCCCAUCACCGCUGGAAUUUCGAUGACCUCUUGGAAAAGAUCUGGGACUAUCUGAAACUAGUGAGGAUUUACACCAAACCCAAAGGCCAGUUGCCAGAUUAUACAUCCCCAGUGGUGCUGCCUUACUCUAGGACUACGGUGGAGGAUUUCUGCAUGAAGAUUCACAAAAAUCUUAUCAAAGAAUUUAAAUAUGCUCUGGUCUGGGGUCUGUCUGUGAAACACAAUCUUCAAAAAGUGGGUAAAGAUCAUACACUGGAGGACGAGGAUGUCAUUCAGAUUGUGAAGAAAUGAAACCUUCCCCUCUACCCAUAUGCUGGGCCAACCAUAGCAGCUUUUCCCAUGACCAAGCACCCUACCCCAAACCCCUUCGAGCUUUGGCAGCCAGUGGACCAGGAUUCAGGGGAGGGAGAUGAAGGCAUCCAAGCUGGAACUUUGUCUUAACUUGGUGUCACCUUGUAAAUUCAACUGCAUAAAGGACCUGGUAGGCCAAAAAAAAAAAA
This is a non-coding RNA of Callorhinus ursinus (northern fur seal), 1375 nucleotides long. The record is from RefSeq and is a predicted model, not a curated record. Lineage: Eukaryota; Metazoa; Chordata; Mammalia; Carnivora; Otariidae.